AACGCAUAUUGCACUCUCCGUCCCGCGGGGAGUAUGCCUGUUUCAGGGUCUGUUGCAAAAAUCCAGAAUUUACUUUCUGGGAGAUGAACCUUUCGCGUUUUUCGAUGCGAUGGUUUAAAAUUUAAUGCGUUUGCAACUGACAGGACGCGUAAUAGUAGUAAAAUGCUAAUAUCGUAACUUGUCAGGUGACAUUAAACGUGUUGUUGGGUUAGAUUCGAGUUUAUUCUCGGGCGUGAUCAAACAAUAAGUCUUACAUAGACCUGAAAUCAAGCAAGAUUACCCGCUGAACUUAA
Molecule: unclassified non-coding RNA, 293 nt
Filed under: uncultured fungus
Lineage: Eukaryota; Fungi
Description: partial contains 5.8S ribosomal RNA, internal transcribed spacer 2, and large subunit ribosomal RNA
Source: RNAcentral